This 492-nucleotide ribosomal RNA is filed under the name uncultured bacterium. RNAcentral's name for it is "partial 16S ribosomal RNA". It matches the Rfam family "Bacterial small subunit ribosomal RNA", at positions 29 to 507 of the family's 1533-position model. The record is from RNAcentral.
AGUGAACGCUGGCGGUAGGCCUAACACAUGCAAGUCGAACGGCAGCACAGUAAGAGCUUGCUCUUACGGGUGGCGAGUGGCGGACGGGUGAGGAAUACAUCGGAAUCUACUUUUUCGUGGGGGAUAUCGUAGGGAAACUUACGCUAAUACCGCAUACGACCUACGGGUGAAAGCAGGGGAUCUUCGGACCUUGCGCGAUUGAAUGAGCCGAUGUCGGAUUAGCUAGUUGGCGGGGUAAAGGCCCACCAAGGCGACGAUCCGUAGCUGGUCUGAGAGGAUGAUCAGCCACACUGGAACUGAGACACGGUCCAGACUCCUACGGGAGGCAGCAGUGGGGAAUAUUGGGCAAUGGGCGCAAGCCUGAUCCAGCCAUACCGCGUGGGUGAAGAAGGCCUUCGGGUUGUAAAGCCCUUUUGUUGGGAAAGAAAAGCAGCAGGUUAAUACCCCGCUGUUCUGACGGUACCCAAAGAAUAAGCACCGGCUAACUUCGUG